CCUACGGGAGGCAGCAGUGGGGAAUAUUGGGCAAUGGGCGCAAGCCUGACCCAGCAACGCCGCGUGAAGGAAGAAGGCUUUCGGGUUGUAAACUUCUUUUGUCAGGGAAGAGUAGAAGACGGUACCUGACGAAUAAGCCACGGCUAACUACGUGCCAGCAGCCGCGGUAAUACGUAGGUGGCAAGCGUUGUCCGGAUUUACUGGGUGUAAAGGGCGUGUAGCCGGGUUGACAAGUCAGAUGUGAAAUCCUGCGGCUUAACCAUGGUACUGCUCUGGAAACUGUGGAGCUUGAGUGCGGGAGGGGCAGGCGGAAUUCCUAGUGUAGCGGUGAAAUGCGGAGAUAUUAGGAGGAACACCGGCGGCGAAGGCGGCCUGCUGGACCGUAACUGACGUUGAGGCUCGAAAGCGUGGGGAGCAAACAGGAUUAGAUACCCUUGUAGUC
RNAcentral lists this ribosomal RNA (442 nucleotides) under uncultured bacterium. Its description in RNAcentral is "partial 16S ribosomal RNA". It matches the Rfam family "Bacterial small subunit ribosomal RNA", at positions 338 to 795 of the family's 1533-position model. The record is from RNAcentral.